Molecule: microRNA precursor, 75 nt
Filed under: Myotis lucifugus (little brown bat)
Lineage: Eukaryota; Metazoa; Chordata; Mammalia; Chiroptera; Vespertilionidae
Description: mir-9229 microRNA precursor family
Rfam family: mir-9229 microRNA precursor family
Source: Rfam by way of RNAcentral
GAGACACCCUUAUGGCACAGGACUCCUUCAGUGGGGCUUUGGUGCUCACUGAGUCUGCCCCUUGAGUGUGUCACU